RNAcentral lists this ribosomal RNA (160 nucleotides) under Cynoglossus zanzibarensis (Zanzibar tonguesole). RNAcentral's name for it is "partial 5.8S ribosomal RNA". It matches the Rfam family "5.8S ribosomal RNA". Rfam says of the family: 5.8S ribosomal RNA (5.8S rRNA) is a component of the large subunit of the eukaryotic ribosome. It is transcribed by RNA polymerase I as part of the 45S precursor that also contains 18S and 28S rRNA. The record is from RNAcentral. Lineage: Eukaryota; Metazoa; Chordata; Actinopteri; Pleuronectiformes; Cynoglossidae.
UACAACUCUUAGCGGUGGAUCACUCGGCUCGUGCGUCGAUGAAGAACGCAGCUAGCUGCGAGAACUAAUGUGAAUUGCAGGACACAUUGAUCAUCGACUCUUCGAACGCACCUUGCGGCCCCGGGUUCUUCCCGGGGCUACGCCUGUCUGAGGGCCGCUU